ACGGCUAAUCAGUGCCAGCAGCCGCGGUAAUACUGAAGGUGCAAGCGUAAUCGGAAUUACUGGGCGUAAAGCGCGCGUAGGCGGCUUGUUAAGUCGGGAUGUGAAAAAGCCCCCUGGGGGCUCAACCUGGGAACUGCAUUCGAUACUGGCGAGCUAGAGUAUGGGAGAGGGCUGUGGAAUUUCUAGUGUAGCGGUGAAAUGCGUAGAUAUUAGAAGGAACAUCAGUGGCGAAGGCGGCAGCCUGGCCCAAUACUGACGCUGAGGUGCGAAAGCGUGGGGAGCAAACAGGAUUAGGUACCCUGGUAGUCCACGCCGUAAACGAUGUCAACUAGCCGUUGGGAGACUUGAUCUCUUAGUGGCGCAGCUAACGCACUAAGUUGACCGCCUGGGGAGUACGGCCGCAAGGUUAAAACUCAAAUGAAUUGACGG
Molecule: ribosomal RNA, 429 nt
Filed under: uncultured bacterium
Lineage: Bacteria
Description: bacterial SSU rRNA
Rfam family: Bacterial small subunit ribosomal RNA
Source: RNAcentral